This 498-nucleotide ribosomal RNA is filed under the name uncultured bacterium. RNAcentral's name for it is "partial 16S ribosomal RNA". It matches the Rfam family "Bacterial small subunit ribosomal RNA", at positions 29 to 523 of the family's 1533-position model. The record is from RNAcentral.
AUUGAACGCUGGCGGCAUGCCUUACACAUGCAAGUCGAACGGUAACGCGGGGCAACCUGGCGACGAGUGGCGAACGGGUGAGUAAUGCAUCGGAACGUGCCCAGUAGUGGGGGAUAGCCCGGCGAAAGCCGGAUUAAUACCGCAUACGACCUAUGGGUGAAAGCGGGGGACCGUAAGGCCUCGCGCUAUUGGAGCGGCCGAUGUCAGAUUAGGUUGUUGGUGGGGUAAAAGCCUACCAAGCCGACGAUCUGUAGCUGGUCUGAGAGGACGACCAGCCACACUGGGACUGAGACACGGCCCAGACUCCUACGGGAGGCAGCAGUGGGGAAUUUUGGACAAUGGGGGCAACCCUGAUCCAGCCAUGCCGCGUGCGGGAAGAAGGCCUUCGGGUUGUAAACCGCUUUUGUCAGGGAAGAAACGCUCUGAGUUAAUACCUCGGGGUAAUGACGGUACCUGAAGAAUAAGCACCGGCUAACUACGUGCCAGCCGCCGCGGUAA